This 468-nucleotide ribosomal RNA is filed under the name uncultured bacterium. RNAcentral describes it as "partial 16S ribosomal RNA". It matches the Rfam family "Bacterial small subunit ribosomal RNA", at positions 28 to 507 of the family's 1533-position model. The record is from RNAcentral.
GACGAACGCUGGCGGCGUGCUUAACACAUGCAAGUCGAACGGAAAGGCCCUGCUUUUGUGGGGUGCUCGAGUGGCGAACGGGUGAGUAACACGUGAGUAACCUGCCCUUGACUUUGGGAUAACUUCAGGAAACUGGGGCUAAUACCGGAUAGGAGCUCCUGCUGCAUGGUGGGGGUUGGAAAGUUUCGGCGGUUGGGGAUGGACUCGCGGCUUAUCAGCUUGUUGGUGGGGUAGUGGCUUACCAAGGCUUUGACGGGUAGCCGGCCUGAGAGGGUGAACGGCCACAUUGGGACUGAGAGACGGCCCAGACUCCUACGGGAGGCAGCAGGGGGGAAUAUUGCACAAUGGGCGGAAGCCUGAUGCAGCAACGCCGCGUGCGGGAUGACGGCCUUCGGGUUGUAAACCGCUUUCGCCUGUGACGAAGCGUGAGUGACGGUAAUGGGUAAAGAAGCACCGGCUAACUACGUG